UGAACCAAUGAGUUUGUUGUGGUCAUGCA
RNAcentral lists this non-coding RNA (29 nucleotides) under Rattus norvegicus (Norway rat). Lineage: Eukaryota; Metazoa; Chordata; Mammalia; Rodentia; Muridae. The record is from RNAcentral.